UAUCUCUUGGAGUCUUUGCUCCCCAGUAACCCUUUGCUUGUACCCCAGCUCUUCCUGUAACAGUAAUGGCUACACCUCACAAAAUAUUAUGUUUGCCUUGCUAUCCCUGAGCUGAAACAUUGUCUAAACUCUGAACUAACCUUAGGAGAGUCCAACAAGUCCCUUUGUAAUGGAUUGAGCUUCCUUUGACAGCAGUGGAAAAAGAGCUCUCUGCAAAAAGAGCUGCUACAAGGAGAAAUCAGGAGCAGCUGACUGGCCUAUGGAACCACAUCGGGGAUGUCAUGAGCAACGUCCUCCCUGGAAUGAGAAGUGAACUGGCCCCAUGCUCCUCCUGCUUCAAAGCCCUGUGGAUUUUGGGCUCUUUGAUCCAUUCAUGGAGUGAGAAAAUGGAAGCAUCAAAGAUCUUUGCU
Cyanistes caeruleus (blue tit) is the source of this 410-nucleotide non-coding RNA. NCBI's taxonomy places the organism in Eukaryota, Metazoa, Chordata, Aves, Passeriformes, Paridae. The record is from RefSeq and is a predicted model, not a curated record.